UACGAGGGGGGCAAGCGUUGUUCGGAAUUAUUGGGCGUAAAGGGUGCGUAGGCGGUUUUGUAAGUCUUGUGUGAAAUCUUCAGGCUCAACUUGAAGACUGCACGAGAAACUGCAGGGCUUGAGUGUGGGAGAGGUGAGUGGAAUUCAUGGUGUAGCAGUGAAAUGCGUAGAGAUCAUGAGGAAGACCAGUGGCGAAGGCGGGUCUCUGGACAGUUCCUGACACUGAGACACGAAGGCCAGGGGAGCAAACGGG
RNAcentral lists this ribosomal RNA (253 nucleotides) under uncultured bacterium. RNAcentral describes it as "partial 16S ribosomal RNA". It matches the Rfam family "Bacterial small subunit ribosomal RNA", at positions 524 to 776 of the family's 1533-position model. The record is from RNAcentral.